GUUGGCCGCGUCGCGGUAGCCGCUCGCGAUCAGGUCGCGGACCGGGGCGUGGUCCAGGGUGGCGUUGAAGUCGCCGGCCAGCACC
This 85-nucleotide transfer RNA is filed under the name Microtetraspora sp. NBRC 13810. RNAcentral's name for it is "tRNA-Leu". Lineage: Bacteria; Bacillati; Actinomycetota; Actinomycetes; Streptosporangiales; Streptosporangiaceae. The record is from RNAcentral.